Ictalurus punctatus (channel catfish) is the source of this 736-nucleotide long non-coding RNA. RefSeq lists it as uncharacterized. Lineage: Eukaryota; Metazoa; Chordata; Actinopteri; Siluriformes; Ictaluridae. The transcript has 3 exons. The record is from RefSeq and is a predicted model, not a curated record.
ACAUUAUCAUUCAGAAAUAUGCGUAAUCACAACCGUGCAUGACUAAUGCAUGGUCGUAGUCUCAGGUUUCAUUAAGAAACUCCUGCAUACAAGUCCUACGGAACGCUUUUUUAUGAUUACCGUGGUAUGACUCAGUUUUACUGUUACAAAGUUAUCCCUCUAGUAAGAUUAAACAUUAAAGGAAAUAUAAGCAGGGUUGCAGAAAUAUUUGAUGAGAAUGACAAUAAUCAUGACGACGGUGGGAAGUUUUAGGGAUACAGAGCUGAUCAGCGUUUAACGUUUUACUCAGCUCGACUCGGAAACCUGCUGGACAGAGAUGUUUGUCUAUUGGAGGACUCUUUUUAAUCGUCGGGAUGAACACAAGAGACUCGGCGAGUGUGUGAACGAUGCCGCUCGGGCAUUACUGCUGCUUCUGCAUGCGCACGCAAAACCUUACUACAAGUGUAAAGCAGACUGCUUCACGUUGGAACUGUAUCACAUCAUCACAGCGUAACCAUAACAACACAACAAUAGAAUUUGUAAUGGUUUUAAUGGGAAUGGUAUUGGUUUUUAAUAGAAACUGUAAUAGUAGCUCUGGGUCUCUACGGGUAAUUUGUUGCCUUCUAUUGGUGGCAUGGUUUAACUGAUGGAUUCCAUUAAGGACAAUAAUGCAGGGAACACUUCCCACUAGACCAUGAUGUUUGUUGGUAAAUGAGACCUUUUACCUGUACUCAUGUUUGACGCACUUGAACUGAAG